UGAUUCGGGUUCAAGGCACCAAGAAGAUUUUCCCAUAUCAAAAAUUGAUUUUCUGUGUUUCUCUCUCUCUCUCUCUCUCUCGAUUGCUCUCUCUCUCAUGAUCUCCUAGCGCUCUCUCUCUCGAUUGCUCUUAAUCUCGCAUCCUCUCUCUGUGUUCUCUCAAUCGAUCAUUCCUUCAAUUAAUCAAUCAAUCCAUCGAAUGGUGGAGGAGAGUUUCAAAUACGUGAUUCUAAUCGGUGACAUCUCCACUAUGAGUAUCUUUCAAUUAAUCUAUUGAUUUUCUACUUCACACUGUUUUUGCUUUGUUAACCUCGAUUCAGUUCGUUCUCUCUCUCUCUCUCUCUCUCUCUCUCUCCAUCGGCAUCUGUGAACCUGUGAACGAAGAUCAAUCGAAAACGACGCCAUCAAUCACCUCCUUCUCGUCCAUUCCGAUCUCUCAUCUCUCAUUCACCAGGUAACUAAUUCGUACUUCUAGAGAGAGAAAUGAGAUAGCAAAUUCAUAUUUGAUCAAACAUUGGUUUGGAGGAAAUCGAACCCCUUAGAUUUGUCUGAAAUUGUUGUGUUUUGUUGCUUUGUUUCUGCAUUGAUUCACUGACAAGAUCUAGGAUUGUAUUUUUUAUUUUUUUAUUUUUUUAUUUCAUUGAUUCAUUGAUAAUAUAGCAAUUAUUUUUUAUUUUUUAUUAUUUUUUUAAUUUCUCUGCAUUCUCCAUUCCAUUUCUAGGUCUGUCUAUCUUGAUUUUGCUUGGUUGCUUCUUAUUUGUUAUUGUAGUGUAGUGUGAAUUUUUGUGUGUAUGCUCAUCUUUUGUUAUAUGAUUUCAAUUUGUGUUACUGUUAGCUACAUAUUACUUUGAAUCAAUUUUUCCAAACUUUCGUUGAGAACUCAUGCCUGCAGAAAUCAGCAAGGCCAAGCAAAAUUCAGAGAAUGUAUGCAGAGCCUUGAUUUAGGGCCAUCCUUUGAAUUAACGACUUCUUAGUUUGUCCUCUAUUGGCUACUACCACCUUUAGAAUGAAUGCUCAUGUUAGCAUCCUAACAGUGAAUUGGAAUGAGCAUUCAUUCUAUUUAACUUUCUAUUUCAUUUUCACUCUCAUUGCAUUUCAUCAUACCAAACAUAAAUGUGAGAAUAAACAAAAAAUAAACAAAAAUCUAAAUAUGCCAAAAUGACAUUUGCACCAAUAGAGCAACAUGGUCAUAAUGAAGCAUAUUUUUCACUUCCUGCCAUAAAUGUCAUCCUAACCAAAUGGAGGGUUUCACCGUUCUUUGACUAUAAACUUAUAUAUCUGUGUGUGUUUAAUUAUGCCUAAAUACCUUUUGGGAGACGCUAUUUCCUGUUUUGACUUUUGCCAAUUCUAACAGCAUGACUUUCACGAGAUUUUGUUACUAUUACCAGACAUGCAAAGUUAGUCGUUUAUGUUGACAUUUCUUUUUUUUGCUUUCUGUUAUGGAAAUAUAUUGUGCUUUCUUUUGUGUUUAAAGAUAUUACUUACAAUUAUCUUCAUUUGGACCGGUACCUCUCCUGCAAAGUCAUCAUCAGUAUUAUUUGUUACUCUUUCUCAAGCCUGGUGGAUGGCAAUAUCCAAUUUGGGCCAGUAGAAGGUACUUUUGCUGCAAAUGUCAAUUUGAAACUGGGAUUAAUAUGAUUCUAGCUCAGAAAGGAACCUCACCUCCAAGGUCGUCGCUCAUAAAUUUUCAUAAUCCUUGUGGAAUGAUUCAACAUUUCCAAUUGACAAGGCUGUGUUGGCUUGGCUUUCAAUAAUUGCAUAUCGAAACAAGGACAAAAAACCUGGGGAGAAAUUGGUGUCCGUCUCUAAUGUUGUAAAGGAGCACUGGGCCUCUUAUGGAAGAAACUUCUUUUCCAGAUAUGAUUAUGAAGAAUGUGAAUCUGAAGGAGCAAACAAAAUGAUAGAUUAUCUUAGAGAUUUGGUUUCUAAGAGCAAGUCAGGUGAUAAGUAUGGAAGUUAUGUCCUUCAAUUUGCAGGGAACUGGUUCAACUGGUGCUACUUUUAGAAUGCAUACAUUGAACAGUUUGAGCCCGAUGUCUCUAAACAUGACAUGGACGCCCAAACUGCACUAAAACCUUUAAUAGAUCCAGCGCUGUCUGUAUCAAAGCUGAAGGACUUCACUGGAAGGGAGAAGCCUACAGUUAUCACAUAAAUCUGAGUGUCUGAUGUUAAUCUCACACAAUGAAGCUUCAUUAGUAAUCAUGUAAAAGUAGUUCAUCAAUUUCAUGUGUGUAUUCAACGUUUUGUAUAAUCCAGUUUCGAUUAUGCGACUUUGUAGGGCCUCACAAGGUAUGUCAUUUACUUUCUCUCCCAAUCGAUCAAUUUCUCUGUCACUCGAUCAUUUUUUCCCAAAAACUUCGAAUUCAUCAUUUGAUUUAAAGUCUAUUCUCGAAGACGACAUAUGCUAGUUUAACUAGUCAUAGGAUUUGCUUUCACUUUGAAUCAGAGCAGAGGUUUUGCUAGUUACAGUUGCUAUCAUGACUUAAUGGUCAUGCAUGAUUUUCAGUGGAUUGUGUGGUUCAAUGAUAGAAGUGAUGAGCAUAGUAUUUCAGGUUUUUUCACAACUAAAUUAAUAGUUGAGUUGUUUCAAUUAUGCCUCAUCCAAAUAGCUGCAAUAUCAUAUUCUAACUUUUGGCUACCCAAAAUUGGGUCUAACCAACCAUCCAACUAAUGGAGGAUAUACCUAAUGGCAUAUCCUAUGACUAGUUAGAAGGAGAAAAAUAAAAUUUGGCACAUCCACACACCAUCUAGUGGUCAGAAAUGGUUGGCCCUAUAGCUUAUCCCAUUAUUUACCUCAUCCUAACUUAAACAUUGAAUAAUAUAUAUUCCUAUCAGAGAAAUUUAAUCUUGGAAUUAUCAUAUAUUAUUUUAAGGAUUAGUUAUCCCUCUAUUCUUAUUCAGAUUAAAUAAACACUCUAAAGAUGAUAAAUAUAACAAAGAAAAUGCUAAUAGCAGCCCUUUGGCUUGUAAAUAACAAUAAAAAAUUUAUAAAUAAUGUGUAAAAAUUAUAUUGAAAAUUUAACUUUGUUGGCCUUCUCUUCUUCUAAAAGCAUGACCCUAUAGGCGUGGACAUUGAUUUUUCUGUGCAAAUUUUCCCAUGCUUUUAGCAUUAUUGAGAGAAUAAACUAUGGCACUUCUUUAUCAGUCCCAGCUUUGAAAAUGAUUUCAGGUCAGAAUGGUUACAAAGAUAAUUAAGAUUACAAGGAAAUGAUACUAACUGAUUAUCUGUCACCAUUUCAUGAACAACUAUUCUUUCUUUUUAACUCUAAUGAUAUGUCAUACAUCUUUGCACCCAAAUCUUUUCCUUCUAGUUUUGAAAACUCUCUAUUUUUUCCA
Molecule: non-coding RNA, 3336 nt
Organism: Camellia sinensis
Lineage: Eukaryota; Viridiplantae; Streptophyta; Magnoliopsida; Ericales; Theaceae
Source: RefSeq, a predicted model, not a curated record